Molecule: small RNA, 719 nt
Filed under: Histoplasma capsulatum var. duboisii H88
Lineage: Eukaryota; Fungi; Ascomycota; Eurotiomycetes; Onygenales; Ajellomycetaceae
Description: Histoplasma capsulatum H88 hypothetical RNA
Source: RNAcentral
AAUCAUUAUUGUUUGUGAUGACUCAAUUGUGUGCAAAUCCGUGGUGCUUUUUUCAUUUUCGAACUUCCAUUCCAUUAUUUGACUUUUUAUCCGACCCCAUCCUCUCUCCGAUUCCUGUCCUUGAGCUUGAUAUCCAUAUCUGAUCGACUUGAUCAAUGCACGCUCCGGCCAUCAUUCCAUAGACGGGGCAUCGUACGAGUACAGUACAUUUCCAUGCGGAUUAGUUAGAAAAAGGUGGGACAUCCUUUUUUUUGGAGCUUCAAAAUUGCCAUGAUUCUUCGGCAAGGGGUAACCAGCUAAGCCAUGAAAGCGAUUUUCGCUUUACGGAGGAAUAAGUUAAUGAAGAAAGAAGUGGGAUAUUAUCACCAAUGGUUUUCUUAUAAAAUACACGUUGCUGCAUCCUGAACCCAGUUGGGCAAGCCUGAUAACCCGUCCAUUGCUUCAAUCCAUGUUUCUUCCCACUCUCCUUUCAAUUUCCCUGCUAUUGAAGAUAGACAAGAGAGCUCGGGGUUUUCAUGUGAGAUCAUCUGAGUCUUCGGAACACGUGCAAUGACAUUAUUCUGUUGGAUCUUACUCUGGAGAAUCAAGCAGGAAGUUAGAGAGAGGUGUUGAUAUAUAAAAUACUUGGACUUGGCGCAGGAAUGGUGAAAGAAAUUAUGAGGAGCAGGAACCAGCCUCAUUAUUUCUUUCUUUCUUGUUUUCCCUCACCACAUGGGCGG